GUAAUACGUAGGUGGCAAGCGUUAUCCGGAAUUAUUGGGCGUAAAGCGCGCGUAGGCGGUUUUUUAAGUCUGAUGUGAAAGCCCACGGCUCAACCGUGGAGGGUCAUUGGAAACUGUUUAACUUGAGUGCAAGAGGGGAGAGUGGAAUUCCAUGUGUAGCGGUGAAAUGCGUAGAUAUAUGGAGGAACACCGGUGGCGAAGGCGGCUUUCUGGUUUGUAACUGACGCUUAUGUUCGAAAGCGUGGGGAUCAAACAAGAUUAGAU
This 264-nucleotide ribosomal RNA is filed under the name Enterobacter hormaechei. RNAcentral's name for it is "partial 16S ribosomal RNA". It matches the Rfam family "Bacterial small subunit ribosomal RNA", at positions 520 to 783 of the family's 1533-position model. The record is from RNAcentral. Lineage: Bacteria; Pseudomonadati; Pseudomonadota; Gammaproteobacteria; Enterobacterales; Enterobacteriaceae.